AUUGAACGCUGGCGGCAGGCCUAACACAUGCAAGUCGAGCGGAUGAAGGGAGCUUGCUCCUGGAUUCAGCGGCGGACGGGUGAGUAAUGCCUAGGAAUCUGCCUGGUAGUGGGGGAUAACGUCCGGAAACGGGCGCUAAUACCGCAUACGUCCUGAGGGAGAAAGUGGGGGAUCUUCGGACCUCACGCUAUCAGAUGAGCCUAGGUCGGAUUAGCUAGUUGGUGGGGUAAAGGCCUACCAAGGCGGCGAUCCGUAACUGGUCUGAGAGGAUGAUCAGUCGCACUGGAACUGAGACACGGUCCAGACUCCUACGGGAGGCAGCAGUGGGGAAUAUUGGACAAUGGGCGAAAGCCUGAUCCAGCCAUGCCGCGUGUGUGAAGAAGGUCUUCGGAUUGUAAAGCACUUUAAGUGGGGAGGAAGGGCAGUAAGUUAAUACCUUGCUGUUUUGACGUUACCAACAGAAUAAGCACCGGCUAACUUCGUG
This 484-nucleotide ribosomal RNA is filed under the name uncultured bacterium. RNAcentral's name for it is "partial 16S ribosomal RNA". It matches the Rfam family "Bacterial small subunit ribosomal RNA", at positions 30 to 507 of the family's 1533-position model. The record is from RNAcentral.